GAUGAAGAACGCAGCGAAAAGCGAUAAGUAAUGUGAAUUCCAGAAUUCAGUGAAUCAUCGAAUCUUUGAACGCACCUUGCGCUCCUUGGUAUUCCGAGGAGCAUGCCUGUUUGGGUGUCAUUAAUAUAUCAACCUUUUUGGGUUGGAUGUGGGUUUGCUGGCCUUUUGAGGUCAGCUCCCCUUAAAUGCAUUAGCAGACAACAUUUUGCCAACUGUUCAUUGGUGUGAUAAUUAUCUACGCUAUUGACGUGAAGCAAAGGUUCAGCUUCUAAUGGUCCAUUGACUUGGACAACUCUUAUUUAUUAAUUUGACCUCAAAUCAGGUAGGACUACCCGCUGAACUUAAGCAUAUCAAUAAGCGGAGGA
Molecule: unclassified non-coding RNA, 365 nt
Filed under: soil metagenome
Description: partial contains 5.8S ribosomal RNA, internal transcribed spacer 2, and large subunit ribosomal RNA
Rfam family: 5.8S ribosomal RNA (bases 1-120)
Source: RNAcentral